This is a long non-coding RNA of Cyprinus carpio (common carp), 334 nucleotides long. RefSeq lists it as uncharacterized. The transcript is spliced from 3 exons. Lineage: Eukaryota; Metazoa; Chordata; Actinopteri; Cypriniformes; Cyprinidae. The record is from RefSeq and is a predicted model, not a curated record.
AGGCCUUGAAUCCAUGAGUAUGACACUCAAACGUGGGAGCCCUGCAUAUAAAAGAGCAUCAGUCAACGGCAAAAACAAUUACAAAUGGCGAGCAGCAAGAACUUUAGUGAGGCCGAAGUUGGCGUCCUGCUAGCAGAGUACUCCGACUUUGCCACAAGGAAAAGUGCGUACGACUGCUCAGACCCAGAAGUGUCAAUCCCUGUGUCUCUCCAGCGUCUCUCCCGAGUGUCUUCAGCAUUCCAUUCUCCAAGUUCCCCUCUCCUGUGUGAACUCUGAGGUGUGUGCAACGUGUCUGUCCCCCUGGUCACCCCACCGACGGCCCUGGAUAUCCCCA